AUGUCCUGGACCCCUGUCCUGCUGGCGCUCCUGGCCCACUGCACAGGCUCCACGGCCUCCUAUGAACUGACCCAGCAGCCCUCAGUGUCAAUAGCCCCCGGAACAAGGUCAGGAUCACCUGCUCAGGAGGUAACGUCAUGCAUAAACUUGCAUCUUGGUACCAGCAGAAGCCGGGCCAGGCCCCUGUGUUGUUCGUCUAUGACAAUAGCAACCGGCCCUCAGGGAUCCCUGACCAAUUCUCUGGCUCCAUUCAGGGAACACAGCCAUCCUGAUCAUCAGCGGGGACUGGGCCGAGGCCGAGGCUAUUACAGUGCCAUCUACCAUGGCAUCUCAGUCACCAUGGUACGUCUUUGGCGGCGGGACCCAGCUCACCGUCCUAGGUCAGCCCAAGUCUGCACCCUCGGUCACUCUGUUCGCGCCCUCCACUGAGGAGCUCAAGGCCAACAAGGCCACCCUGGUGUGUCUCAUCAACGACUUCUACCCGGGCAGCGUGACGGUGGCCUGGAAGGCAGGCAGCACCACCAUCACCAGGGGCGUGGAGACCGCCCAGCCCUUGAAACAGAGCAACAACAAGUACGCGGCCAGCAGCUACCUGGCCCUGACGGCCAGCGAGUGGAGAUCUUAUGACAGGGUCAGCUGCCAGGUCACGCAUGAGGGGAGCACCCUGGAGAAGACAGUGGCAUCCUCAGGGUGCCCUUAGGUCCCUGGUCCCCCCACCCUCCGGGGCCUGGAG
RNA transcript from Aethalodelphis obliquidens (Pacific white-sided dolphin), 733 nucleotides. It is a transcript of the gene named immunoglobulin lambda-1 light chain-like, with no coding region annotated. The transcript has 4 exons. NCBI's taxonomy places the organism in Eukaryota, Metazoa, Chordata, Mammalia, Artiodactyla, Delphinidae. The record is from RefSeq and is a predicted model, not a curated record.